CGCUUAUUGAUUGACGUCCUGUCAGCUCUAAUAACCAUAGGGGUACCAAAAUGGCGGCUGGGCCCAACCUCGGUCCCACUCCAAGGCUCCGUAGCACGAAAUGGCCGCGCGCCUUCCUCUCUUGAGCGCACGCGCGCGCGCGCCUCCCGUCGGACUUGCAAAUCAUCGCAAUGUCAGCCGAUCGAACCGAUUCGCCUGGGGAGCAGAACGGCCGGAGAUCCGUACAGUAGCAGCAACCGAACGCCAAGAUCUUCAAUAGCGACUACCGACGACCGCCUGAUGAACGGAUUGACGAAUGGACGGUCAGGGUGCGGGUCGAUGCCCGGCGAAGGCCGCUAACAAUGCCUAAUCUUUUCCAGGAAGCUGACACAACUCGCCGCUCUGGUACCGAAGUGCCGAGUCGCCUUCGAGGAUCGAAAGGUGCGUCGCGCCCGAUUUCAACGAGUUUCUAAGACGCUCAUUACGCAUUAUCGAUGGAACCGAGGAUACUUGAGAGUUCGGAGUUGACACAGCCCCUGGCAUACGUGAAUAAGAACGCCAACGAGGGACCCAGACACAAAAGAGACUUAUGGUGGGUGUAUGCAGACAGGAGCAAUAAACUCUCCACGUCAAGAUCUGUGUUUCGUAUCAAACCGCAUUAAUAUGGUUUAAUUGAAAGGCGAGAAGAAAUGACGUUUACGUGGAACCUCGUGAAGGAUGGACGAAAUUCUUUAUGUCCUCUCAAGGGACCUUCUGGACCAUCGUGGAGAAUUAAUAUAAGACGCUCCAAAAAUUCUCAUGGUUUCCAUUCAGUCAACGACAGAUUCAAUUACGCUCGCGACUCGGCAGAGCUAAUAGCAACGCACGGUCCCUCAUUAUAUCACUUUCGCUCGAAUGCCUCCCAGUUGCAACAGGAGCAAAUCCUCUGAGCUACCGGUAGAUUGAAUCUCUUUGUGAAGCGCCUUGAGGUCUGCAGCUCCUUGGACGAUAUACGCAAGUAGGCUGCUAGCCAUGAAUAAAGUGCUGCCAACCGGCUUGGUAUUGUCUACGGUAAUGAACUUGCAAGGUAUUCACUGGUACCAACAUCCAGCCAGUCUGGUCUUACGGAGCGUCGUUGAUGUUUGCGUCGGGAAACGAAGAAUCCGCACGUCAGCAGGCGUCGGUAUCAAGAACGAUGGACACUCGUCGAGAAUAAUGGUAGUCCUUGCUCAUACGAUCUGCCUGAAAGAAAUUGCACAACGCUGUUGACACUUGCGUUUGCUUAGUUGGCUGAGUUGCGACAGCGAGGAGGAAAAAAAUAAUUAUAAUGAUAAUCCGGCCAUUCUGCGAGUCCGAUGUAAAUUCACCGAGUCCGAGCAAUUCACGUCUCUCGGGAGCUGGGGUAGCCAUGAUGAAAGUAUCUUCGGCAGAUGAGUAGCCGGUGAGUCUAUUAACCGACUACGGGAGUGUAAUAUUAAUUUGAUUAGAGUCUCUCUCCUUCUCGUAGUACGGUAGAUGGAUAGAGGAGCGAGCUGUGGUGUAUAUGGUGUGCGAUGGUUUGAUGGGGUGAACCAUGGAGAGCCAUGGAGAGCCAUGGAGAGCCAUGGAGAGUCAGGCAUCUUGCCGGUCACCGUUCCACGAAGUUCGCGUCUUGGAUCUUCUCGCGGCUCGUCGUCUCUCCCACGGCCCUGCCUUCGAGUCUCGUUACCUAUGUACCUAACGUCGCUCGGUCCAGGGGCUUUGCUUUCGUUUCGUGGCUCUCUCUAAGACCAUCAGCAUCCUAUCGGGCCGUAUCGACACCUCCUACGAUGCCAUGGCCCAACUUAACCCCAGCACCCCAUUAUUCCCCCUUAACGAUAUUUGGGCCAGUGGUCACCGCAUUCCGAUCUUGACGAUUCCUUGAAUUUCGGUUAACCCUUAACCCCUGAUUCUGGGGUGGAUGGACGUGGGGUGUGACUUCAGAUUAGGUGGACCAAGUACACGUUAUGGGUACCGACCUACUUCACUAUACACGGGGCUGUAUAUAAGUUUUGGGGAAUGUACCUUAGAUCCCUUAUACAGGGUUUGAUUUUUUGUUAUCACUGUCUAUCCAUUUAUCCAUCUAUCGUACAUUCUGGAGAUGCUCGUACAAAAUUGCG
This is a long non-coding RNA of Cephus cinctus (wheat stem sawfly), 2096 nucleotides long. RefSeq lists it as uncharacterized. The record is from RefSeq and is a predicted model, not a curated record. NCBI's taxonomy places the organism in Eukaryota, Metazoa, Arthropoda, Insecta, Hymenoptera, Cephidae. The transcript is spliced from 3 exons.